AAAUGGAAAAAGGAAAUAGUGGCUUCAGAUGCAGAGGCCAGCCAAGCAGUAGAUACACAUUGAAACAUGUAAAUUUGUUCCCAAUAUUACGGCCAUGGCGCAUGUGACUCCAUGUGGCGCAACAGAAGACCGGUCAGACAACCACUGGAGAGUGGAGACCUCAGUUCUCAGCUACACAGCUGUGUAUGUGUGAGUGUGUGUUGGAAGCUUCAUGCUCAUGAGCCUGGUGUCAACUCACGUGUGCAGUGCACGAGCUUGGACUGAUGCCUGGUGGAUUGCUCCCAGCAGCACCCAUAUGUAGGCAGAAAUAAUUAGUGAGGCGGCAGUAGCGCAUGCGUGCUCUUGUUCUGCUGCUCAGGCUCAGCUGGGCGCCGCUGCAUUUCUGUCUCUGCAUAUCUGGAACUGGAAGUCAGAUAGUUGACGUCCCACAUGCUUUAUUAUAUAAUGCAUAUAUCUGUAUUACUGUACAUAGACACUUGUAUUUAAGGCGAUGGAGAAGGGUGGUUGUUUGGAUGAAAAAUAGUUCUGUUAUGAAGUUAAUAUAUAUCGGCUUGAUAUUAAGUAUUAGUUUAGGAUUUAAUAAGUUGAUUUGUACUACUAUCUUGCCUUUGAAUGUUUUCUUCUCUAAUCUCUAGCUUUCAAUGAUUUCUAAUGUUGACUUGCAUGCUUACUUGCAGUUUUUCGAAGAUAUGGUAGUGUCUGCCUUUCAUCCGUCGGGCUACAGGUGCCCCUGCAGCCCCAUGGCAGCAUGAAAGAGAAAGAGGCCAUGCACAUGUGACAUGUGGAGUGUGUAAGAGUUUGGGGAAAAAAAAGAGUGGUGGUGGUAAAUUCACAUCUUUACACCUCCUUUUACGAGCACUGACUUUAAUCAGGUCUCCCUUAAUGCUCUGCGCCCUGACCCACACCCCUCACUCAGAGGAAAUGUUCUCUGAUAAGUUUCCCAUGGCUGGCCAGGCUAGGUGAAGAAGAUCUCUAUUUAAUCAGGUACAUCCAACUGGCCAUAAUGUGAUGCUGCGCUAAAAUCAAAUAGUACUUGCAGCUCUUCUCGAUUCAGCAAGGAACAUGCAUAAACAGUAGUCUAUAUUCACGUGAGCUCAAUUCAUAGUCUACCUAGCUAGUUUCAUACUGUAGUUGCAUGGCCUUAUGCUGUUGCUUGCAUCUUUUUCAUUUAAGUAAUCAUGAAUGGUUUUGUGGCAUAUAACAGUGUUCCAAAAACGGCCAGUUACCAUUUACGGCCGGGUGCAGGCCCAAAAUUUUGAACCACCCGCCCAGCAUUUCUCAAGAAAAAAUGACCUGGUAAAAAUGUCUGAGACCUCUCUGUUCAAAAUUUCUGCUGACAGUUUCUAGUAACCUUACUUUAAAUGUGCAAAACAAAUAAUUUCAAAUAUUCGAAAACUUAGAAAGAUGGUAAAGCAGCAACUUCCCCCAAUGACAAGUGGUUGAAUAGCCAGGUUGUCGCUUUAUAUUGUAACAAAGUUGCAUGAAGCAAAAAAAAAAAAAGCUCGGAUGAUCUGAUUUAUAAACCUAUUCCAGCAGAAAAAUCUGAUACACAAAAUAAUUGAGCCCAAGGAUCUCAAGGAAACCAACGAAAACUGUUAGAUCCUCUUGUCCAAAGAGCUUGGUCUUUUCUAAUUUGCCAUAGCUUGGUCUUUUCUAAUUUGCCAUGCAUGAUGCCAUCAGCUUAUUUUUUGGCCUCGUACAUAUGCAUGUAAGAACAAAGGAUGCUCUCACUUUUAUCUAAUAUGUAAUGUGACGAUCCACUGCACAGCUAGCUCAUCAUUUCUCUCUUUUGUUUUCUUGGGGUGUUUAUAUGAUGCAGCCAGUCAAAGAUAGAUCUGGACCUGCCCAGUCGCCACAAAUGCAGUGGGCCACAUGUGGGAUGGGGAAAGGUCAUGUGAUCUACUCAUAAAAUGUCUCUGCAAGCACAUCACGUACACAGCUUUGUCAUAUAUGGAACAGAAUCUUCCAAGAUAUUCAAAUUCUACAGCCAAUUGCCACACCACACGAAUGCGUCUGUUGAUCAUCACAAAUAAAUGCUUGCACGUUAAAUUUGCCUCCAAUCUCCCAGUGGGUUAUGACUUAUGAUUUAUUUUAUGCUUAGGUGCUAAAGCUGAUUGCAGCUACUGAGCUAGAUAAUGCAAGAUGUUUGCCAUCAAGCCGUUCACACCUCAUUGAUGGCUUGAUGCCUGCCCUGAAUUUGAUGCAUG
This is a long non-coding RNA of Panicum virgatum (switchgrass), 2207 nucleotides long. RefSeq lists it as uncharacterized. Lineage: Eukaryota; Viridiplantae; Streptophyta; Magnoliopsida; Poales; Poaceae. The record is from RefSeq and is a predicted model, not a curated record. The transcript is spliced from 3 exons.